UAGGGGGCGAGCGUUAUCCGGAUUUACUGGGUGUAAAGGGAGCGUAGACGGCAAUAUAAGCCAGGAGUGAAACCCCGGGGCUCAACCCCGGGCAUGCUCUUGGAUCUGUAGAGCUAGAGAGCGGGAGGGGCAGGCGGAAUUCCUGGUGUAGCGGUGAAAUGCGUAGAUAUCAGGAGGAACACCGGCGGCGAAGGCGGCCUGCUGGACCGCGACUGACGUUGAGGCUCGAAAGCGUGGGGAGCGAA
This 245-nucleotide ribosomal RNA is filed under the name uncultured bacterium. RNAcentral's name for it is "partial 16S ribosomal RNA". It matches the Rfam family "Bacterial small subunit ribosomal RNA", at positions 528 to 772 of the family's 1533-position model. The record is from RNAcentral.